CCUACGGGUGGCAGCAGUGGGGAAUAUUGCGCAAUGGGCGAAAGCCUGACGCAGCGACGCCGCGUGAGGGAUGAAGGUUUUCGGAUCGUAAACCUCUGUCAGCAGGGAAGAACGGUAACUGUGCUAAUCAGAAGUGAAUUGAUGGGUCCUGCAAAGGAAGCACAGGCUAACUCCGUGCCAGCAGCCGCGGUAAUACGGAGGGUGCGAGCGUUAAUCGGAAUUACUGGGCGUAAAGCGCGCGUAGGCGGUAUGGCAAGUCAAGGGUGAAAUCCCCGCGCUCAACGUGGGAACUGCCUUUGAAACUGGCAAGCUGGAGUGUGGGAGAGGAUAGUGGAAUUCCGAGUGUAGGAGUGAAAUGCGUAGAUAUCUGGAGGAACAUCAGUGGCGAAGGCGACUAUCUGGCACAUAACUGACGCUGAGGAGCGAAAGCGUGGGUAGCAAACAGGAUUAGAUACCCCUGUAGUC
RNAcentral lists this ribosomal RNA (465 nucleotides) under uncultured bacterium. RNAcentral's name for it is "partial 16S ribosomal RNA". It matches the Rfam family "Bacterial small subunit ribosomal RNA", at positions 338 to 795 of the family's 1533-position model. The record is from RNAcentral.